CCUACGGGUGGCUGCAGUGGGGAAUAUUGCACAAUGGGGGGAACCCUGAUGCAGCGACGCCGCGUGAGUGAAGAAGUAUCUCGGUACGUAAAGCUCUAUCAGCAGGGAAGAAAAUGACGGUACCUGACUCAGAAGCCCCGGCUGACUACGUGCCAGCAGCCGCGGUAAUACGGAGGGGGCAAGCGUUAUCCGGAUUUACUGGGUGUAAAGGGAGCGUAGUCGGCACUGCAAGUCCGGAGUGAAAGCCCAAGGCUUAACCAUGGGACUGCUCUGGAAACUGUGGAGCUUGAGUGGGGGAGGGGCAGGCGGAAUGCCUGGUGUAGCGGUGAAAUGCGUAGAUAUUAGGAGGAACACCGGCGGCGAAGGCGGCCUGCUGGACCGUAACUGACGCUGAGGCUCGAAAGCGUGGGGAGCAAACAGGAUUAGAUACCCGUGUAGUC
Molecule: ribosomal RNA, 440 nt
Filed under: uncultured bacterium
Lineage: Bacteria
Description: partial 16S ribosomal RNA
Rfam family: Bacterial small subunit ribosomal RNA
Source: RNAcentral